RNAcentral lists this transfer RNA (58 nucleotides) under Erinaceus europaeus (western European hedgehog). It matches the Rfam family "tRNA", at positions 8 to 63 of the family's 71-position model. From Rfam's summary of the family: Transfer RNA (tRNA) molecules are approximately 80 nucleotides in length. Their secondary structure includes four short double-helical elements and three loops (D, anti-codon, and T loops). The record is from Rfam by way of RNAcentral. Lineage: Eukaryota; Metazoa; Chordata; Mammalia; Eulipotyphla; Erinaceidae.
UAGCUCAGUCGGUAGAGCAUGAGACUCUUAAUCUCAGGGUGGUGGGUUCGGGCCCCAC